RNAcentral lists this ribosomal RNA (253 nucleotides) under uncultured bacterium. RNAcentral describes it as "partial 16S ribosomal RNA". It matches the Rfam family "Bacterial small subunit ribosomal RNA", at positions 524 to 776 of the family's 1533-position model. The record is from RNAcentral.
UACAGAGGGGGCAAGCGUUAUUCGGAAUUAUUGGGCGUAAAGGGCGCGUAGGCGGCUUUUCAAGUGACGGGUGAAAGCCCUCGGCUUAACCGAGGAACUGCCUGUCAGACUGGAAGGCUUGAGACCAGGAGAGGUGAGUGGAAUUCCCAGUGUAGCGGUGAAAUGCGUAGAUAUUGGGAGGAACACCAGUGGCGAAGGCGGCUCACUGGACUGGUACUGACGCUGAGGCGCGAAAGCGUGGGGAGCAAACAGG